This 90-nucleotide ribosomal RNA is filed under the name Danio rerio (zebrafish). Lineage: Eukaryota; Metazoa; Chordata; Actinopteri; Cypriniformes; Danionidae. The record is from RNAcentral.
CACAACAGCCACUCACUGAAGCUAAGCAGGGCUGAGCCUGGUCAGUACCUGGAUGGGAGACCACAUGGGAAAGCUAGGUUGCUGUUGGAA